This is a long non-coding RNA of Nematolebias whitei (Rio pearlfish), 316 nucleotides long. RefSeq lists it as uncharacterized. NCBI's taxonomy places the organism in Eukaryota, Metazoa, Chordata, Actinopteri, Cyprinodontiformes, Rivulidae. The transcript is spliced from 4 exons. The record is from RefSeq and is a predicted model, not a curated record.
CGGCAGAGGCAGCGGUCCUUCGGGAGCGCAGGCGGGCCAGUGAAGGCGUCUCCACCAACAUCUUCCAUGAUCUUUCUGCUGCGAGUCCUGAGAGUAGGUUGGAGCUCCCGCAGCAGCUGGGCGUCUCCUGCGCUCCCGUCCACGAGCCUCCAGUCAGGCGGCAGGUGGAGGAGCAGAAGCGCUACGUGGAGAGUCUGCGGCAGGAAAUUCAGGCUGAGCAGAAACAGGGGGACACAGAUCUGGCAAGGGAGCAGGCGUGCCUGCAACAGAGCCAUGCUGAAGUCCAGCAGUGGAUUUUACAGGAGAAAUGUCGCCU